RNAcentral lists this ribosomal RNA (253 nucleotides) under uncultured bacterium. RNAcentral's name for it is "partial 16S ribosomal RNA". It matches the Rfam family "Bacterial small subunit ribosomal RNA", at positions 524 to 776 of the family's 1533-position model. The record is from RNAcentral.
UACGAAGGACCCGAGCGUUAUCCGGAUUUAUUGGGUUUAAAGGGUGCGUAGGCGGAUUAAUAAGUCAGUGGUGAAAGCCCAUCGCUUAACGAUGGAAUUGCCAUUGAUACUGUUAAUCUUGAGUAUGGUUGAGGUGGGCGGAAUGUGUCAUGUAGCGGUGAAAUGCUUAGAUAUGACACAGAACACCAAUUGCGAAGGCAGCUCGCUAAACCAUAACUGACGCUGAGGCACGAAAGCGUGGGUAGCAAACAGG